Long non-coding RNA from Papaver somniferum (opium poppy), 896 nucleotides. RefSeq lists it as uncharacterized. The record is from RefSeq and is a predicted model, not a curated record. Lineage: Eukaryota; Viridiplantae; Streptophyta; Magnoliopsida; Ranunculales; Papaveraceae. The transcript has 3 exons.
CAUUUCAUGAAGAGAUACGUCUCUUUGAGAGAUAACCGCAACAAUUUUGAUUUGUUGUGUCUUUCUCAUCUCGAUUCCAAAUGGAGAUUAAAAAGUGUAAUCAAGACAAAAUCCUGGUCUACAACUUUCAUUUCUUACCACAAAAUCAAAAGAGCAACCAAAAACAUUGGAAAAUCGCUAGAAUUGAUUUCCUGCCCUAAAUCAGAGUGUCUUGCAUACACGGUUAAAAGGAUCUAUCCAAAUUCCUCUCCAGUUGGGAGGGAGAGCCACCAGAAUCUUUAAAGCGUUGUCAAACACCAAAUAAAGAGAUUGGGAUAUUCAAAACUGGGUUUUGAGAAGAGAUCCCGAUACACAACUUCUGUGUUACAAUUUUUCAAGAAAAUUAGAACCGUCAAUCAACAGCAUGGGAACUUAACCGUCGUUCACCCUUUGAUGUACAAGACAUCUCAAAUCCGUAUUUCCCAUACUUUUGGAAAUUAUUCUGAAAGAUAUGCCUACGCGGAGGGAAUAAAGAGAGAACUUCCAGAAACAUUAGGUUCAAGAAAAUGGCGUUAUGGUUCCAAAUCCUGAGUAUCUCUACUGGAUUUCGAUGGAUGGGUUUGUUUUAUCUUGUCUCAAUGCUACGUUUACCAGAUCUGUCUCUGCUGGCCUGCCAUCCUAUACUGUGACAACAUUGGAGCAAACAGGCUUGCCAAAAAUCCUGUUUUCCAUGCUCGCACCAAGCACGUGGAGAUUGACUAUCACUGCAUUAGAGAACUGGUUGAAGAUGGUUUUCUCAAGUUAGCAUAUGUUCCAUCUCAACAUCAGUUGGCGGAUGUGUUUACUAAAGGUCUAGGAGUUGUUAUAUUUCAUUCAUGUAUCCACAAGCUAAUGCACAUUGUUGAGACAUUUGCUUG